AUUGAACGCUGGCGGCAGGCCUAACACAUGCAAGUCGAGCGGAUGAAGGGAGCUUGCUCCUGGAUUCAGCGGCGGACGGGUGAGUAAUGCCUAGGAAUCUGCCUGGUAGUGGGGGAUAACGUCCGGAAACGGGCGCUAAUACCGCAUACGUCCUGAGGGAGAAAGUGGGGGAUCUUCGGACCUCACGCUAUCAGAUGAGCCUAGGUCGGAUUAGCUAGUUGGUGGGGUAAAGGCCUACCAAGGCGACGAUCCGUAGCUGGUCUGAGAGGAUGAUCAGCCACACUGGAACUGAGACACGGUCCAGACUCCUACGGGAGGCAGCAGUGGGGAAUAUUGGACAAUGGGCGAAAGCCUGAUCCAGCCAUGCCGCGUGUGUGAAGAAGGUCUUCGGAUUGUAAAGCACUUUAAGUUGGGAGGAAGGGCAGUAAGUUAAUACCUUGCUGUUUUGACGGUACCAACAGAAUAAGCACCGGCUAACUUCGUG
Molecule: ribosomal RNA, 484 nt
Filed under: uncultured bacterium
Lineage: Bacteria
Description: partial 16S ribosomal RNA
Rfam family: Bacterial small subunit ribosomal RNA
Source: RNAcentral